GCCUUUAUAGCUCAAUUGGUAGAGUAUUUACCUUGUAAGUAAAAUUGUGUGGGUUCGAUUCCUACUAAAGGCU
Molecule: transfer RNA, 73 nt
Filed under: Oscarella pearsei
Lineage: Eukaryota; Metazoa; Porifera; Homoscleromorpha; Homosclerophorida; Oscarellidae
Description: tRNA-Thr
Rfam family: tRNA
About the family: Transfer RNA (tRNA) molecules are approximately 80 nucleotides in length. Their secondary structure includes four short double-helical elements and three loops (D, anti-codon, and T loops).
Source: RNAcentral